This is a non-coding RNA of Haemonchus placei, 75 nucleotides long. The record is from Rfam. NCBI's taxonomy places the organism in Eukaryota, Metazoa, Nematoda, Chromadorea, Rhabditida, Trichostrongylidae.
GGCCCAAAUAUGAAGUAGAGUACAGUAGUAAGGUCAGCUGAUCCUAUUAUUCUACUAUCCUUCAAAAUUGGGCCC